This 507-nucleotide ribosomal RNA is filed under the name uncultured bacterium. RNAcentral's name for it is "bacterial SSU rRNA". It matches the Rfam family "Bacterial small subunit ribosomal RNA", at positions 8 to 507 of the family's 1533-position model. The record is from RNAcentral.
AGAGUUUGAUCAUGGCUCAGGAUGAACGCUAGCGACAGGCCUAACACAUGCAAGUCGAGGGGCAGCACAUGAGUAGCAAUACGAUGGUGGCGACCGGCACACGGGUGAGUAACACGUAUGCAACCUGCCUGUAAGAGGGGAAUAACCCGGAGAAAUUCGGACUAAUACCGCAUAAUACCACGAGACUGCAUGGUUUUGUGGUUAAACAUUUAUGGCUUACAGAUGGGCAUGCGUAUGAUUAGAUAGUUGGUAGGGUAACGGCCUACCAAGUCUACGAUCAUUAGGGGUUCUGAGAGGAAGGUCCCCCACACUGGUACUGAGACACGGACCAGACUCCUACGGGAAGCAGCAGUGAGGAAUAUUGGUCAAUGGGCGAGAGCCUGAACCAGCCAAGUCGCGUGAAGGAAGAAGGUUCUAUGGAUUGUAAACUUCUUUUGCAGGGGAAUAAAGGACGGUACGUGUACUGUUUUGUAUGUACCUUGCGAAUAAGGAUCGGCUAACUCCGUG